AGGGUUAUAGGAACCUCUCAACGAUACCUCACAAGGAUGUGGUGUGGUUCAUCUCAAGUUGAACUUUUUAAUUUACUGCUUCAUUUGAUCCUUCAAAAUAACUAGGUGAUUGUCCAAAGUGGCCAAGGAUGGAGUUUGGAGACUUCCUUGAGAUGAUAAAAAAAGGAUAGUGUGAACAAACAAGCCCCACGCAGGCUGGCAGAUCCUCAGUUAUACUUUAUUGCUGUCAGAGCCCCACCGUCAUGUCAGGCUAAGGAACACACUCACCAGUGGUUCCAGGGAUCCUCGUUCCAACCCAACACAGUGGAAAGAGAGCUGCUAUCUCCCGACAUCUGUGAUUGACUCUCCUGGGAUCUACCCUCUAACCCCAGUUGCAAUCUGACCAGCUUUAUUCAGGAGAAGCACUAAACCCUAAAGCAUACAGUUGGUCCUGUGUCAGAAGGCUGGGACUUACCCAUGAGAAAGCAUAAGCUCUCCCCUGCAGUGGAGCUUGUUGGGAAUGCAAGGUGACAGGGAGCCCACAGGACCUUGCCCUAGAGGGCCUUAUAUCGAAUAAGCCUACAUUGUUGAAUCACAUGCACUGAAGACUACAGAACAAAUCAUAGAAAAAGGAACAAAAGUGAUGAUUGAAAAGAAAAGCCAGCAAUAUCCUCCUGCUUGGUUUCCCUUGAAAAGAAUGAGCAAAGUGAUCUGUGUAGCCUUGUAACCAGGGAACAGAUUUCCUGUGUAGGCUCACAACUCUGGAAAGGAACUGGACAUACUGAGAAGCACCCUUUAAGGAGAGGUACUUCUUCGCAAGCCAAGAUUAUAAGCCUACCUCUGAUGAUCAGCUCUUAAAAAUGAACACAAAACAGAAGACAGCUUUGAGAGGUGCUGUAGAAAGGAGAAGAUUUUUCUUUCAAGAAAAAAACAAAACAAAAAACUGUUAUUCAUUCUGGCUGGAUAAUGCUGAACGAAACCAAGAAGCUCUCUGUGCUUUGGGACUUCACACAUGGCCAGGGAAGAGCUGGAUGGCUGUAUGAAGGGGACUGACUGACUGUGGGAACAAUAGCCAGGAAAGACCUAUCUUCCUGUCUUGCUUCCAUAGCCCUCAUUGUUAUGUGGGGGCCCUGACAGAUCACAUUAUCCCAGGGACAACAUAAGCAUCAAGGAGAAACUUUCUCAAAUGAUUCUCCUAAAGUAUUUCUGGAAGCUUGCUGUUUAUGGCAGACUAGAGUGAGAGGCUGGAAAAGACUUCAAAGAGAAUGUUGAAGAGGGAGAGAGGAGAAGAUGGGUGAAGAAGCUGAGUUUUGAAGAGAAAUGGGAGAGAUGUUGAGGAAGUUCAUUGCUUCUGGUCUUGAUGUCACUUAAGGUGA
Long non-coding RNA from Myotis myotis, 1355 nucleotides. RefSeq lists it as uncharacterized. The record is from RefSeq and is a predicted model, not a curated record. The transcript is spliced from 12 exons. Lineage: Eukaryota; Metazoa; Chordata; Mammalia; Chiroptera; Vespertilionidae.